RNAcentral lists this ribosomal RNA (236 nucleotides) under uncultured bacterium. RNAcentral's name for it is "partial 16S ribosomal RNA". It matches the Rfam family "Bacterial small subunit ribosomal RNA", at positions 30 to 273 of the family's 1533-position model. The record is from RNAcentral.
UUGAACGCUGGCGGCAUGCCUUACACAUGCAAGUCGAACGGUAGAGGGGCAACCCUUGAGAGUGGCGAACGGGUGAGUAAUAUAUCGGAACGUGCCCAGUCGUGGGGGAUAACGCAGCGAAAGCUGCGCUAAUACCGCAUACGAUCUAUGGAUGAAAGCGGGGGAUCGCAAGACCUCGCGCGAUUGGAGCGGCCGAUAUCAGAUUAGGUAGUUGGUGGGGUAAAAGCCCACCAAGC